AACGAACGCUGGCGGCAUGCCUAACACAUGCAAGUCGAACGAGACCUUCGGGUCUAGUGGCGCACGGGUGCGUAACGCGUGGGAACCUGCCCUUAGGUUCGGAAUAACUCCCCGAAAGGGGUGCUAAUACCGGAUAAUGUCCUCGGACCAAAGAUUUAUCGCCUUUGGAUGGGCCCGCGUUGGAUUAGCUAGUUGGUAGGGUAAAAGCCUACCAAGGCGACGAUCCAUAGCUGGUCUGAGAGGAUGAUCAGCCACACUGGGACUGAGACACGGCCCAGACUCCUACGGGAGGCAGCAGUGGGGAAUAUUGGACAAUGGGCGAAAGCCUGAUCCAGCAAUGCCGGGUGAGUGAUGAAGGCCUUAGGGUUGUAAAGCUCUUUUACCCGGGAUGAUAAUGACAGUACCGGGAGAAUAAGCACCGGCUAACUCCGUG
This 433-nucleotide ribosomal RNA is filed under the name uncultured bacterium. Its description in RNAcentral is "partial 16S ribosomal RNA". It matches the Rfam family "Bacterial small subunit ribosomal RNA", at positions 29 to 507 of the family's 1533-position model. The record is from RNAcentral.